RNAcentral lists this ribosomal RNA (253 nucleotides) under uncultured bacterium. RNAcentral describes it as "partial 16S ribosomal RNA". It matches the Rfam family "Bacterial small subunit ribosomal RNA", at positions 524 to 776 of the family's 1533-position model. The record is from RNAcentral.
UACAGAGGUCGCAAGCGUUAUUCGGAAUUAUUGGGCGUAAAGGGUGCGUAGGCGGUUCCGUAAGUCUAUCAUGAAAUACUAGGGCUUAACCUUAGUGCCGUGGUAGAUACUGCGGAACUAGAGAACGGAAGAGGUAAGCGGAAUUCUUAGUGUAGAGGUUAAAUUCGUAGAUACUAAGAGGAACACCAGAGGCGAAGGCGGCUUACUGGGACGAUUUUGACGCUGAGGCACGAAAGCGUGGGGAGCAAACAGG